Phyllostomus hastatus (greater spear-nosed bat) is the source of this 3669-nucleotide long non-coding RNA. RefSeq lists it as uncharacterized. Lineage: Eukaryota; Metazoa; Chordata; Mammalia; Chiroptera; Phyllostomidae. The record is from RefSeq and is a predicted model, not a curated record. The transcript has 4 exons.
CGAGAGGAGCCAGAGUCUAUUUGCAGCACAAACACGCUUUCUAAAAAUAGGGACGCAGGUCGGCGGGCUGCGGCGCUCGCCACUCGGACGGUGAGCCGCCCACUGCUGCUGCGCUUCCUCCCUCGCCGCGCUGGCCCAACGGCCACCGGCCCCCCCCCCCACGCCGUGUGCCUCCCCAGGGUGCUCGGGACUCGGGUCGACCGUCCUGGGAGCAGUUUGGGGGCCCGGGGUGCUGGUCCGGGGAAGCCAAGUGCGGUGACUGGCCUCGCCAUGUGGGGCCCCAGGAUCCUUGGGGACCACCCCCGCAGCGCCCUCUGCAGACGGUGACCACAGGGGCAGCAUCUCUGAAGGGAAUCGCCUGUCACCUGGCAUCAGCGCUCUUUUCGCCAAAUCGCUUCUGAGGCGACUCCAAGACGCUUCCAGCCAGGGCAACGCCCCCUCUGAUCCUGAAGGUUCGGGGGACUUCCGUUUGCGGAGGGCGGCCUCCCACGACGGCUGGAAUGAGGGUAAGAAACUUCUGGAAUGCGGGAAAGGAGGGAACUGACUGUGCGGAAACCGACACCGUGCACGCCGCGCAGAGGCCCCGGCUCCUGGAGGCACCCACGUGGGAUGCACUCGGCCGUGAGAACAGACCUGAGGAUUUCGCGCGGCGGCUGCCACGGUUUCCCAGGGGUGGGCGUCCCCCCAGAAACUCUCCGAUGCAUGCCACCCGGGACUGAGGAGGUGUCGCUUCCGUCGAAGGAGGGCUUUCCGCCCGCAGAACUCUCCCGGUUUGAACUCCGAUUUCGGGCGAGGGCGGGGUGGCGGGCCUGCACGUGUCCCCUGCGGCGGGCUCUCCUGGCCGGGGCCUCGGACCGCGGGCUCCUUCGGGCUACAGGCCCACCCGGCGGCCGAAGCAGGUCCCCCACAGCCGAGUCACCUGGGAGCUCAGCCCGCCCGGGACUCUGCUCUGCUGGCUGAGAGCGUCACUGAUCUCCCUCAGAGAGAAGGCUUGCUUUUGCUAGACUUUUUCCAGCCUUUGGCUGCUUUGUGAACUUUUUAUUAGUCCGCUUAUUGCUUAUUUUGCGUGGUCUUCAGCACCAGAGGGAGAAGGGCGCCACUGUGCUUUGUGCUGUGGGGCCGUAUCGUACUGACCGCCCCCCCCCACCCCCCCGCCGUGGGGGACGGAAUGCCGACGUCCCGGCCGCCUAAACAGCCGCAGACGACAGACCCAAACAUCCCCCUUGCAGAGCGGCCGCGCAGCCUCCCUCUCGACCCUGACCUUAAAUACUGGCCGCCCCCCAUCGAGGAGAGCCGUGCCCUUCGUCUUACAGCGUUUGUCUCCAUGCCGACCGCAAGUGCCAGAGGGUGAUUCUUCCUAGAAAAACCAACCCUUUGCGAUAACACGCAGCGUGUCCCUGACUAAUGAGGUUGCCUGAGGUUGGCAGGCACGGGGAGUCUCGUCGCCCCACCCCGUGCUGGGCGAUCACGCGGCGUCCUGUCUGCGCACGCCAAGCCCCGGAGCCAGCAAAACUCUCCCGUCGUUAGCCUCUCUGCCUAACCAGGCUACUCGUGAAGGACCGAGCCAUCAGUCACGCCGGCCAAGCCCGCCGAGAUGGGAGCGGACGCCAGAGGCUGAUGAAAUCCCUGGGCCAGCGCCGCGGCCGGCUUUGCCGUGGUGACUGGUGGCUCACCGCCAGUGUGUGUGUGUGGGGGGGGGGAGGCGUCCUCUGAGGUUGCUCAAUGUUCCUGGGCAGUCGUAACUGCCCUCUGAACCCGAGGUGGAAAAGAGGGUCUUUAUUUAUGUGUUUGUUGUUUGCUCUGUUUGGAAGCUGGAGAAGGCUCUCUCUCGGUGGCAGGGCUGUGGGGGAGCCCCGGGCCGGGGCCCUGUCCUUUCCCGACGGCUCUGAACGCAGGGCGAGGGCCCCCGCAGGGCGAACGGCAGCUGGAGAGCUAGAGGCAUGUCGUGCGCCGUGAGCACCGAGCCGCUGCUCUGCUCUCCUUGACUGACGGCCACUUCUCCCCCCGCAGAGAGCCCCUCUGAAGCGAAAACUAAAAACAAAUAUUCCUCACCAUCCCUAAAAGAAAGGGCCAUCAAAUGCGUCUCGCUUUCUGAUCGCCACAUUCCGGGUGUCCGUGCCUAGCCUGGCCCACAAAGACUCCUUUCCUCCACCCCAGGUGGGGCCCGCGUGGCAUGCAGGUGAGCAGCGGAGGGAACUUUCUGACCGUGGAGCAGAGAGGGGCUCCCUGAGGGCGCUCCUGACCACGCAGUGGGUGAAAUGGCGGCAGGUUUGCAGGCAGGCGUCCCGGGAGGAAGCAGAGGCCACGGCAACACAGGCCCGGCACACCCUGGGCUCGCUGCCCCUCGAGUCCCGGAGCAGGACUUUCACAGCGACAAGAGGAGGCAAGAUAAAAGCUCCCCGUGCUGACCCGGUACCCGGCCCCGGACCGGCCAGAGGAACGAGGAUCCAGCCGCUUGUUUUUAAUCACGUAGACCGUGAUUUAUGGGCUGACUCAUCUGUGAACAAGGACAGUGUCCAGGCACUGGACACUGUCCACACAGAACGGACGCCGCCACGGCGGGGCUCGCCCGGGGCUGGCGCUUCUGCCGCGUGGCGUGGGGGGCGCGGGGGCAGGGACGCGGCGGCAGGGCCUGACCGGCUAUGCGUGGUUUUCCCUCCGGGGGUUGUUGGUUGGGUCUUUUAUCCAUUUUUCUGUGGGGCGGUUUGUCUUUUUCUCGUGGAUUUGAGCCCCAUGACGGAUGGACGGACAGGCCGUAGGUAGGGGCUGCAGCUCAGCGACGUGUCUCACAGAUGUCUCCCCCCAGUUUUUGGAAGGCAGUUUACAACAACAGAUGUUUCCCAUUUCGAGGGAGUGGAUUCGCCCGUCGAUCCUCGAGUGAUUCAUGAGUUGUGUGUCUUGCUUAAGAAACCCGUCUCCACCCCAAGGUGAGGCUGGUUUUCACCCAGGCUGCUCCCGCCGGCUGUGCUUUCACGUUUAAGCCCCCCCCCCUCGGGACUGAGGGUGUCCGCGGCGGGGGGUAGACAGCUAUUUCACACGCCCCACGUGGGAACACGUUUUCUCAGCCCCGUAUACGACACGGCCCCUUCUUCGAAGCGGCCUCUCGGGACAUGAUUGUCGCCGAUCAAACCUCCGUGUCGUCCCUGGUCUGUGCCUGUGCCCUUACCCCGCACCCUGUCUCCUUGAUCCACCCACUGCCCACCCACUGCCCACCCACUGCCCCUGCCGCACACUCAAGCCAUCACCCGCCGCAGGGCCGCGAUUGGGUUGGUGUGGGGGCAGCUCCUUCGUUUGUUUCUUUACGGGUUGUUCUCUGGAGGCGGAGAACGUGCCUCUUCGGUCCCUGUCUCCCCGGGAAGGGCCCGCCGUCCGUCCGACGCCUCGGAUGUUGUUUUCUGGCCGUUUUUGUGAGCGAUGCCCUGUGAGCCAGGGGGGAAACGCGAAGCCAGGACCCCUUUCCGGCGGGUCUGCCCCGAGCGUCGCGUCACAGCGAGAAGGGGCCGGUGGUCCGCGGGGCCUCCCUGCCCACUUCACCGGGACACGGGAACAGAGCCUUCACUGGGGACUCGACCUCGUCCCCCGGGCGCCCCGGCUUCUCUGAGUGGCCAGGCGGCCCCGCUCCAGGGGGCGGCCCUGUCCCGCCCACCUCCUGGUCCCCCUGCCGCCCAC